ACAGCCAUAUAGCGUUGAAACAUCGGUUCCCGUAUGAUCACCGAAGUUAAACAACGUCGAGUUGGUCAGUACCGAGAGGGGUAACCGCUUGGUAAUACCAGGUGCUGUAAG
Acanthosepion pharaonis is the source of this 111-nucleotide non-coding RNA. The record is from the annotation of a GenBank genome assembly. NCBI's taxonomy places the organism in Eukaryota, Metazoa, Mollusca, Cephalopoda, Sepiida, Sepiidae.